UUGAACACAACAAAUUGCAUGGUAUGAAACGGGAAUGAACUAUUUUUUCUUGAUAAAAUCAUUGUUUUCAUAGAACUUACGACCAGAGAUGUUUGCUUAACAACGGUGCGACUAGAACUACAAACCAGAGUGUCUGCAUAAGGACGGUCCAAUUAGAACUACGAAGCAGAGUUUUGCUUGACAACGGCAACCCUGUACUUUGAGUAUUUUUUGUUGCAGCUGGCUAGAGUGUCGCCGGAUUGUGCAGUACACAAGUCUUGUACAGUAUCCAGUCUUCUGGGCCAUGUAACAGUAGGAACAGAGACGAGACUAACGGCAACCAAUGAACAAGUCGAGGAUGUUUCAGUGUUGGAGGGGGAUUUGACUGACGACGUAACGUGAAAAGAAAACAAUUGCAUCAUACAAAGACAGCGUGCAGCACAGCAUGCAGCAUAACAUCGCACACUUCAAUCUCUUUCCUUGGGAUCUUGGCUGGGUUUUUGGGAUACCUGAGAAGAAACCUGUGAACCUAGGAUUCUCUCCCUGACGAGGGAGAUGGCGAGCCGACCAGCUUGAUCAACUUGAUUCAUCUUCAUCCAUUGAGGAAGAACCCCCUGAUACCCCUUGUUUCUCCCAACCCCACUCUGGUGUGAAUGUCUGAUAUAAGUGAGAGCAUCAAGGACGCAGUCAUUUCUGUCCUGCCAAGUGUGCCAGAAGAAACGAUCUUACACCAGGGAGUGGAAAGCAAAGAUGACUUGCAGUACAUAAGAGAACAGGAAAUUGCCGAGGUUAAUCGACCAAUCCAGUGCAGAAAACAUUUAAAUGCAUGGAAAUGAGCAGAAUGUCUGGUAUAAGUGAGAGCAUCAAGGACGCAGUCAUUUCUGUCCUGCCAAGUGUGCCAGAAGAAACGAUCUUACACCAGGGAGUGGAAAGCAAAGAUGACUUGCAGUACAUAAGAGAACAGGAAAUUGCAGAGGUUAAUCGACCAAUCCAGUGCAGAAAACAUUUAAAUGCAUGGAAAUGAGCAGAUGCUGUAAGUUGUGCUACCCCCCUACUCCAGUCCCCAGAAGGCAGUUCAUCACUGUCAAGCUCCUUGAGAUCCAGUAGCCCUUCACCAUCACAUUCCAUACGGCCACCAGUAAAGCAAAAAUGGCCAGAAACGUUCCAGGUACCCCAGGCAACCCUGUACUUUGAGUAUUUUUUGUUGCAGCUGGCUAGAGUGUCGCCGGAUUGCGCAGGUAGGCUACGUGCGUUUCGAAUUCAUCAAACUAGUUAGUAUCAUAACGGCCAAUCAUUCGCCAGCGAUAGCUUAGUAUGAAAGCAUGUUUACAUGUCAGUAUUGUGGUCACCAAUGCUUAACGAAGUAUGCGUUUGUUAGGCAUAUGAAAGUACAUGCGAGUCUUCCAACCGCGUUGUUUAAAUGCGCCUUUUUUGAUUGCACCCGUUCGUUCAGAAACAUGACGCAGUUGGAAUGUCAUGUAUAUCGAGAGCAUAAAGAUAAGAGGAGAGCACAGGUGAAAAGAAAACAAUUGCAUCAUACAAAGACAGCGUGCAGCACAGCAUGCAGCAUAACAAUGUCUGGUAUAAGUGAGAGCAUCAAGGACGCAGUCAUUUCUGUCCUGCCAAGUGUGCCAGAAGAAACGAUCUUACACCAGGGAGUGGAAAGCAAAGAUGACUUGCAGUACAUAAGAGAACAGGAAAUUGCAGAGGUUAAUCGACCAAUCCAGUGCAGAAAACAUUUAAAUGCAUGGAAAUGAGCAGAUGCUGUAAGUUGUGCUACCCCCCUACUCCAGUCCCCAGAAGGCAGUUCAUCACUGUCAAGCUCCUUGAGAUCCAGUAGCCCUUCACCAUCACAUUCCAUACGGCCACCAGUAAAGCAAAAAUGGCCAGAAACGUUCCAGGUACCCCAGGCAACCCUGUACUUUGAGUAUUUUUUGUUGCAGCUGGCUAGAGUGUCGCCGGAUUGCGCAGUCUUGUACAGUAUCCAGUCUUCUGGGCCAUGUAACAGUAGGAACAGAGACGAGACUAACGGCAACCAAUGAACAAGUUGAGGAUGUUUCAGUGUUGGAGGGGGAUUUGACUGACGACGUAACGUGAAAAGAAAACAAUUGCAUCAUACAAAGACAGCGUGCAGCACAGCAUGCAGCAUAACGCUGGGUUUUUUGGAUACCUGAGAAGAAACCUGUGAACCUAGGAUUCUCUCCCUGACGAGGGAGAUGGCGAGCCGACCAGCUUGAUCAACUUGAUUCAUCUUCAUCCAUUGAGGAAGAACCCCCUGAUACCCCUUGUUUCUCCCAACCCCACUCUGGUGUGAAUGUCUGGUAUAAGUGAGAGCAUCAAGGACGCAGUCAUUUCUGUCCUGCCAAGUGUGCCAGAAGAAACGAUCUUACACCAGGGAGUGGAAAGCAAAGAUGACUUGCAGUACAUAAGAGAACAGGAAAUUGCAGAGGUUAAUCGACCAAUCCAGUGCAGAAAACAUUUAAAUGCAUGGAAAUGAGCAGAUGCUGUAAGUUGUGCUACCCCCCUACUCCAGUCCCCAGAAGGCAGUUCAUCACUGUCAAGCUCCUUGAGAUCCAGUAGCCCUUCACCAUCACAUUCCAUACGGCCACCAGUAAAGCAAAAAUGGCCAGAAACGUUCCAGGUACCCCAGGCAACCCUGUACUUUGAGUAUUUUUUGUUGCAGCUGGCUAGAGUGUCGCCGGAUUGCGCAGGUGAAAAGAAAACAAUUGCAUCAUACAAAGACAGCGUGCAGCACAGCAUGCAGCAUAACAAUGUCUGAUAUAAGUGAGAGCAUCAAGGACGCAGUCAUUUCUGUCCUGCCAAGUGUGCCAGAAGAAACGAUCUUACACCAGGGAGUGGAAAGCAAAGAUGACUUGCAGUACAUAAGAGAACAGGAAAUUGCCGAGGUUAAUCGACCAAUCCAGUGCAGAAACAUUUAAAUGCAUGGAAAUGAGCAGAAUGUCUGGUAUAAGUGAGAGCAUCAAGGACGCAGUCAUUUCUGUCCUGCCAAGUGUGCCAGAAGAAACGAUCUUACACCAGGGAGUGGAAAGCAAAGAUGACUUGCAGUACAUAAGAGAACAGGAAAUUGCAGAGGUUAAUCGACCAAUCCAGUGCAGAAAACAUUUAAAUGCAUGGAAAUGAGCAGAUGCUGUAAGUUGUGCUACCCCCCUACUCCAGUCCCCAGAAGGCAGUUCAUCACUGUCAAGCUCCUUGAGAUCCAGUAGCCCUUCACCAUCACAUUCCAUACGGCCACCAGUAAAGCAAAAAUGGCCAGAAACGUUCCAGGUACCCCAGGCAACCCUGUACUUUGAGUAUUUUUUGUUGCAGCUGGCUAGAGUGUCGCCGGAUUGCGCAGUCUUGUACAGUAUCCAGUCUUCUGGGCCAUGUAACAGUAGGAACAGAGACGAGACUAACGGCAACCAAUGAACAAGUUGAGGAUGUUUCAGUGUUGGAGGGGGAUUUGACUGACGACGUAACGUGAAAAGAAAACAAUUGCAUCAUACAAAGACAGCGUGCAGCACAGCAUGCAGCAUAACAAUGUCUGAUAUAAGUGAGAGCAUCAAGGACGCAGUCAUUUCUGUCCUGCCAAGUGUGCCAGAAGAAACGAUCUUACACCAGGGAGUGGAAAGCAAAGAUGACUUGCAGUACAUAAGAGAACAGGAAAUUGCCGAGGUUAAUCGACCAAUCCAGUGCAGAAAACAUUUAAAUGCAUGGAAAUGAGCAGAAUGUCUGGUAUAAGUGAGAGCAUCAAGGACGCAGUCAUUUCUGUCCUGCCAAGUGUGCCAGAAGAAACGAUCUUACACCAGGGAGUGGAAAGCAAAGAUGACUUGCAGUACAUAAGAGAACAGGAAAUUGCCGAGGUUAAUCGACCAAUCCAGUGCAGAAAACAUUUAAAUGCAUGGAAAUGAGCAGAUGCUAUAAGUUGUGCUACCCCCCUACUCCAGUCCCCAGAAGGCAGUUCAUCGCUGUCAAGCUCCUUGAGAUCCAGUAGCCCUUCACCAUCACAUUCCAUAUGGCCACCAGUAAAGCAAAAAUGGCCAGAAACGUUCCAGGUACCCCAGGCAACCCUGUACUUUGAGUAUUUUUUGUUGCAGCUGGCUAGAGUGUCGCCGGAUUGCGCAGGU
Molecule: long non-coding RNA, 4103 nt
Organism: Anguilla anguilla (European eel)
Lineage: Eukaryota; Metazoa; Chordata; Actinopteri; Anguilliformes; Anguillidae
Exons: 31
Source: RefSeq, a predicted model, not a curated record